AUGGCUCAGGAUGAACGCUGGCGGCGUGCUUAACACAUGCAAGUCGAACGGAGUGUGCUUUAUGAAGCUUCGGCAGAUUAGCUGCACACUUAGUGGCGGACGGGUGAGUAACGCGUGGGUAACCUGCCUCAUACAGGGGGAUAGCAGCUGGAAACGGCUGAUAAAACCGCAUAAGCGCACACUACCGCAUGGUAGAGUGUGAAAAAACUCCGGUGGUAUGAGAUGGACCCGCGUCUGAUUAGCUUGUUGGUGAGGUAACGGCCCACCAAGGCGACGAUCAGUAGCCGGCCUGAGAGGGUGAACGGCCACAUUGGGACUGAGACACGGCCCAAACUCCUACGGGAGGCAGCAGUGGGGAAUAUUGCACAAUGGGGGAAACCCUGAUGCCAGCGACGCCGCGUGAAGGAUGACGUAUUUCGGUAUGUAAACUUCUAUCAGCAGGGAAGAACAAGUGACGGUACCUGACUAAGAAGCCCCGGCUAACUACGUGCCAGCCGCCGC
This 501-nucleotide ribosomal RNA is filed under the name uncultured bacterium. RNAcentral's name for it is "bacterial SSU rRNA". It matches the Rfam family "Bacterial small subunit ribosomal RNA", at positions 19 to 518 of the family's 1533-position model. The record is from RNAcentral.